UACGGAGGGUGCAAGCGUUAAUCGGAAUUACUGGGCGUAAAGCGCGCGUAGGUGGUUUUUUAAGUCGGAUGUGAAAGCCCCGGGCUCAACCUGGGAACUGCAUCCGAUACUGGAAGACUAGAAUGCGNGAGAGGGAGGUAGAAUUCCAUGUGUAGCAGUGAAAUGCGUAGAUAUAUGGAGGAAUACCAGUGGCGAAGGCGGCCUCCUGGCUCGACAUUGACGCUGAGGUGCGAAAGCGUGGGGAGCAAACGGC
This 253-nucleotide ribosomal RNA is filed under the name uncultured bacterium. RNAcentral describes it as "partial 16S ribosomal RNA". It matches the Rfam family "Bacterial small subunit ribosomal RNA", at positions 524 to 776 of the family's 1533-position model. The record is from RNAcentral.